UACGGAGGGUGCGAGCGUUAUCCGGAAUCACUGGGUUUAAAGGGUGCGUAGGCGGUGGGACAAGUCUGUCGUGAAAUGCUCCGGCUCAACCGGUAGAACUGCGAUGGAUACUGUUUCACUUGAAUUGGGUUGAGGCAGGCGGAAUGUGACAUGUAGCGGUGAAAUGCAUAGAUAUGCCAUAGAACACCGAUUGCGAAGGCAGCUUGCCAAGCCUUGAUUGACGCUGAGGCACGAAAGCGUGGGGAGCAAACAGG
This 254-nucleotide ribosomal RNA is filed under the name uncultured bacterium. Its description in RNAcentral is "partial 16S ribosomal RNA". It matches the Rfam family "Bacterial small subunit ribosomal RNA", at positions 524 to 776 of the family's 1533-position model. The record is from RNAcentral.